AUCCAGCUGACGGGUUGCAAAUAGGACGAAACGCGUGUCCUGGAU
RNAcentral lists this non-coding RNA (45 nucleotides) under Schistosoma bovis. RNAcentral also lists the same sequence under 1 other name. The record is from RNAcentral. Lineage: Eukaryota; Metazoa; Platyhelminthes; Trematoda; Strigeidida; Schistosomatidae.